GAUGAACGCUGGCGGCGUGCCUAAUACACGCAAGUCGAGCGAACAGACGAGGAGCUUGCUCCUCUGACGUUAGCGGCGGACGGGUGAGUAACACGUGGAUAACCUACCUAUAAGACUGGGAUAACUUCGGGAAACCGGAGCUAAUACCGGAUAAUAUAUUGAACCGCAUGGUUCAAUAGUGAAAGACGGUUUUGCUGUCACUUAUAGAUGGAUCCGCGCCGCAUUAGCUAGUUGGUAAGGUAACGGCUUACCAAGGCGACGAUGCGUAGCCGACCUGAGAGGGUGAUCGGCCACACUGGAACUGAGACACGGGCCAGACUCCUACGGGAGGCAGCAGUAGGGAAUCUUCCGCAAUGGGCGAAAGCCUGACGGAGCAACGCCGCGUGAGUGAUGAAGGUCUUCGGAUCGUAAAACUCUGUUAUUAGGGAAGAACAAAUGUGUAAGUAACUAUGCACGUCUUGACGGUACCUAAUCAGAAAGCCACGGCUAACUACGUG
RNAcentral lists this ribosomal RNA (497 nucleotides) under uncultured bacterium. Its description in RNAcentral is "partial 16S ribosomal RNA". It matches the Rfam family "Bacterial small subunit ribosomal RNA", at positions 28 to 507 of the family's 1533-position model. The record is from RNAcentral.